Long non-coding RNA from Dendrobium catenatum, 460 nucleotides. RefSeq lists it as uncharacterized. The record is from RefSeq and is a predicted model, not a curated record. NCBI's taxonomy places the organism in Eukaryota, Viridiplantae, Streptophyta, Magnoliopsida, Asparagales, Orchidaceae. The transcript has 2 exons.
UGAUUAAGUACUAAUGGUAAUUAAUAUUAAUUACUGAUUAAGACUAAACCGUGUGGCUAUGGUGGGCUUAUAAAAUCCGCUCACACGGCUCUCAUCUUCUUCCAAGAGAGACUCCACCAAAAGCAUCUUUCUACUAAAGCUUGGUGAGGCUGAGUUUCCCGGCGAAGAAGAAACGCACAGAUUUCUAUACUUCAAUUAAACUUUAUUUGUGUUGGAGAUGAUGACUUAUUUCAGAGUUUCAGAUCAUGAGUAAAGCCUGCUGAUAAAGGUAAAACAAACGAAGACCUGAAGAUUUCAUUCGAAACCUCCAGAUGAAACUCAAAAACUAUCUUCUCUUCUAUACUGUAACUGUUGAAGUCUCUCUCCGUUCUUUAUGGCAACUUAACUGUUCUAAGGACAUUUUUUCCUGACUUUAUAUUAAGUUUGAAUAGAAAGUUCAAACUUCUUGAUGAAAGCUUAA